GACGGGGGAUGCAAGCGAUAUCCGGAAUCACUGGGCGUAAAGCGUCUGUAGGUGGUGAUGCAAGUCACUGGUGCAAAACUCUGGCUCAACCGGAGGAAAGCCAGUGAAACUGCAUGACUAGAGUGUGGGAGAGGUAGAAGGAAUUCCCUGAGUAGCGGUGAAAUGCGUAGAUACAGGGAAGAACACCGGAGGCGAAAGCGUUCUACUGGAACACAACUGACACUGAGAGGCGAAAGCUAGGGGAGCGAAGGGG
This 253-nucleotide ribosomal RNA is filed under the name uncultured bacterium. RNAcentral describes it as "partial 16S ribosomal RNA". It matches the Rfam family "Bacterial small subunit ribosomal RNA", at positions 524 to 776 of the family's 1533-position model. The record is from RNAcentral.